GAUGAACGCUGGCGGCGUGCCUAAUACAUGCAAGUCGAGCGAACAGAUAAGGAGCUUGCUCCUUUGACGUUAGCGGCGGACGGGUGAGUAACACGUGGGUAACCUACCUAUAAGACUGGGAUAACUUCGGGAAACCGGAGCUAAUACCGGAUAACAUUUGGAACCGCAUGGUUCUAAAGUGAAAGAUGGUUUUGCUAUCACUUAUAGAUGUACCCGGUCCGUAUUAGCUAGUUGGUAAGGUAACGGCUUACCAAGGCAACGAUACGUAGCCGACCUGAGAGGGUGAUCGGCCACACUGGAACUGAGACACGGUCCAGACUCCUACGGGAGGCGGCAGUAGGGAAUCUUCCGCAAUGGGCGAAAGCCUGACGGAGCAACGCCGCGUGAGUGAUGAAGGGUUUCGGCUCGUAAAACUCUGUUAUUAGGGAAGAACAAACGUGUAAGUAACUGUGCACGUCUUGACGGUACCUAAUCAGAAAGCCACGGCUAACUACGUG
This 497-nucleotide ribosomal RNA is filed under the name uncultured bacterium. RNAcentral describes it as "partial 16S ribosomal RNA". It matches the Rfam family "Bacterial small subunit ribosomal RNA", at positions 28 to 507 of the family's 1533-position model. The record is from RNAcentral.